AGGAAAUGAAAUGCCGCUUGUCGUAAUUGGAUUCAGCGGACUAACUUGUCAGGCCCGCAGCUUGGAGGCAAAAGGGACUCUAAAGGUCACCCCAGCACUUGAUGUCUUGGGUUGGGGAAAUGCAACGCAGAAAAGCCCUAAGUUUACUACUACUACAGCCUCCACAACAACAAAACAUAUUAUUACGUCUAUACAUGCAUAUAUAUAUAGUUCUAUAGACUACUAGCACGUUGUAUUUCAUGUCCCAUUACCGCCGUGGUGGGGAGUGGGGGGCGGGCAGAAAAAAAGGGGAUCUGGGAUUCAGGAUUCCAUCUUUGUUCAAGCUCAUGCAGUCGCUUACCUGUAUCCUAAAACUGUCCUCUUCGGUCAGAAAUUGCGCGCUUUCAGCUUGGAAGAUAUAUCCUUCCUCCUUUGUUCUGCAGACAAUACACUCCUAAACCUGAUCUUGCGGGUCUGCUCGAGCAUUUCCAUAGACCAGUAUUCCCGGUAGAAUAUAUUUUUUUCAAGAGCAAGCCAAGAUUGCAGCAGCUCCAAUAAAAGAGGGCGAAUGGAUUCUGAGUUCGUUAGGUUUAAUAAUAAUUUCGAAAAUCCUUCACAAUCAACCCCAUGGAAUAAAAAAAGAAAGCCAGCUGGUCAAGCUUAUCGUUUUGCUUUGUUU
Molecule: non-coding RNA, 658 nt
Organism: Podarcis muralis (Common wall lizard)
Lineage: Eukaryota; Metazoa; Chordata; Lepidosauria; Squamata; Lacertidae
Source: RefSeq, a predicted model, not a curated record